RNAcentral lists this ribosomal RNA (441 nucleotides) under uncultured bacterium. Its description in RNAcentral is "partial 16S ribosomal RNA". It matches the Rfam family "Bacterial small subunit ribosomal RNA", at positions 338 to 795 of the family's 1533-position model. The record is from RNAcentral.
CCUACGGGAGGCAGCAGUGGGGGAUAUUGCACAAUGGGGGGAACCCUGAUGCAGCGACGCCGCGUGGGUGAAGGAGGGCUUCGGCGUGUAAAGCCCUAUCGGCAGGGAAGAAGCAAGAGGGAACCGGACUAAGAAGCCCCGGCUAACUACGUGCCGGCAGCCCCGGUAAUACGGAGGGGGCGAGCGUUAUCCGGUUGCACUGGGUGUAAAGGGAGCGUAGACGGCCAAGCAAGCCGGGGGUGAAAGCCCGGGGCCCAACCCCGAGACUGCCCUUGGAACUGCAUGUCUGGAGGGCGGGAGGGGCAGGCGGAAUUCGUGGUGUAGCGGUGAAAUGCGUAGAUAUCAGGAGGAACACCGGCGGCGAAGGCGGCCUGCUGGACCGCGACUGACGUUGAGGCUCGAAAGCGUGGGGAGCGAACAGGAUUAGAUACCCCAGUAGUC